AAGUUUAGGUUAAACAAACCAGGGACCUUCAAAGCCCCAAAUAAGAGCCACUCCUAACUUCU
Molecule: transfer RNA, 62 nt
Filed under: Cyrtodactylus baluensis
Lineage: Eukaryota; Metazoa; Chordata; Lepidosauria; Squamata; Gekkonidae
Description: tRNA-Trp
Source: RNAcentral